Molecule: long non-coding RNA, 1004 nt
Filed under: Musa acuminata (dwarf banana)
Lineage: Eukaryota; Viridiplantae; Streptophyta; Magnoliopsida; Zingiberales; Musaceae
Description: long non-coding RNA (MACU_LNC001306)
Source: RNAcentral
GAAAACCAUAAUCUCCUCCUCGUUUAUUUAUACCAGGAACAAAAAUUCAGAGAUCAAAAGGAAAAAAUAAUUAAGUCUCAAGAAAAAUUGAGCUUAUUUGUUUAUGGCCUUCUUCGCAAUAAUUCUAGGGUUCGCCCUCGAGCAUUAUAUAAAUCUUAGUCACACUUCCAUGACCAUUCGUCCUCCUGCUUGAUGCGGUCCCUGGAGCUGCAAAGUCCGAUUUUAACGUUUCCUGCUCGUUCCGGUUCUUGGUUCCGCUGGACAUGAAAUAAAGCCGGGCCAGUAGUCUAGACAAAAUUUUGAUUAAUCUUACUUUCUUCAUGUUCUUUUUGUCGGAACUGGUGGGUUCAAUUGUCAAUCUCAACUUCUUGAUAUUUUUGAAUUUUGCAAUGCCAAGAAGAUCCAUGUUCGAUCUGAUCGGAUGUCCUUAAGAUUAAUUAGCUUCCGUUGAGUUCGUUGAUUAUGACAUUCUAUCAAGUCCAUGUACUCAAAGUUCAAAUAUGUGAUUUCUAAUUAUGCUUAGGUCCCAUGUCCCAGAAUUCCUUACGGCCACAAACUGUUUCAGUAAAGUUUUUGUUUGCGCUUUAUGAAUAUUUUCAUAUAUCAGAAUGGUCAUGAAUUUUUCGUGAGGACCAGAAAUACAACUUUCUGAUUGAAUUAUUGGUUUUGAUGAGAUCCUUCAUAGCUUUCUCCCAUGCAGGGUACCCUGCAUAGACUUUGCAUUCACCUGUCCUUUUUAUUUCCUACUAUAUUAUUUCUAGAACUAGCACCAAGGUAACUUCUAGUUCGUGUAAAGCGCUACAUUCAAUUUGAGCUUCAGUCUGCAUUUAAUUACCUUCUGAAGUUGUUAUUGCUGGGUUUAAGAGUUGGUAUAUGAUACAGGAACAUGAGCAAUACUGUUGGACACACCUUACCCCAGCAAGCUCUUUACCGGCCUUCUAUCAAAGAAAAUCAAAGUAAAGCUCAUCAAGGAGUUUCUGCAAACUUCUUGUGUGGAGUUCCAU